UAGUAACGGCGAGUGAAGCGGGAAGAGCUCAAGCUUAAAAUCUCCGUGCAAGUUUUGCGCGGCGAAUUGUAGUCUAUAGAGGCGUGGUCAGCGUGGGCGCUUGGGGCAAGUUCCUUGGAAGAGGACAGCAUGGAGGGUGAUACUCCCGUUCAUCCCUGAGUGGCUCGUGCGUACGACCCGUUUUCUUUGAGUCGCGUUGUUUGGGAAUGCAGCGCAAAGUAGGUGGUAAAUUCCAUCUAAAGCUAAAUAUUGGUGCGAGACCGAUAGCGAACAAGUACCGUGAGGGAAAGAUGAAAAGAACUUUGAAAAGAGAGUUAAAGAGUACCUGAAACUGCUGAAAGGGAACCGAAUCGUUUCCAGUGUCUAUAAUCCGUGGCAUAUUUCAUUGGCGAGCGUUUGCGUGCGUGUGCUGUGGCAGUGGCUUUUUUGGCUGCGCCUGGCGUGUGUGCUGUGAGUGUUUGCUGGUGCCCUGUGCCGCGGUGGGACGUCAAGGUCAGUUCGUAUGCUGCGGGAAAUGGCUGCCGAGGAGGUAGGGCUUACGCUCCGCGUUUGUCUGUUAUAUCUUGGUGGACGAGUCGUCGUGGUUGGGACUGAGGUGCCUACAACGUGCUUUUGAGUGGGUUUGUGUCUCCGUGUGCGCCGUGUGCGGAUAGCUUGCUAUGCGUGUGUGGUUGUGUGUGGAUUGAUGCGGGCCUUAACUUGUCGCCGUUC
Molecule: ribosomal RNA, 711 nt
Filed under: Phytophthora capsici
Lineage: Eukaryota; Oomycota; Peronosporomycetes; Peronosporales; Peronosporaceae
Description: eukaryotic LSU rRNA
Rfam family: Eukaryotic large subunit ribosomal RNA
Source: RNAcentral